RNAcentral lists this ribosomal RNA (253 nucleotides) under uncultured bacterium. Its description in RNAcentral is "partial 16S ribosomal RNA". It matches the Rfam family "Bacterial small subunit ribosomal RNA", at positions 524 to 776 of the family's 1533-position model. The record is from RNAcentral.
UACGUAGGUGGCAAGCGUUAUCCGGAUUUACUGGGUGUAAAGGGCGUGUAGGCGGGAGAGCAAGUCAGACGUGAAAUUCCAGGGCUCAACCCUGGAACUGCGUUUGAAACUGUUCUUCUUGAGUGAUGGAGAGGCAGGCGGAAUUCCGCGUGUAGCGGUGAAAUGCGUAGAUAUACGGAGGAACACCAGUGGCGAAGGCGGCCUGCUGGACAUUAACUGACGCUGAGGCGCGAAAGCGUGGGGAGCAAACAGG